UACACAUGCAAGUCNAACGAUGAAGCCCUUCGGGGUGGAUUAGUGGCGAACGGGUGAGUAACACGUGGGCAAUCUGCCCUUCACUCUGGGACAAGCCCUGGAAACGGGGUCUAAUACCGGAUAACACUCUGUCCCGCAUGGGACGGGGUUAAAAGCUCCGGCGGUGAAGGAUGAGCCCGCGGCCUAUCAGCUUGUUGGUGGGGUAAUGGCCUACCAAGGCGACGACGGGUAGCCGGCCUGAGAGGGCGACCGGCCACACUGGGACUGAGACACGGCCCAGACUCCUACGGGAGGCAGCAGUGGGGAAUAUUGCACAAUGGGCGAAAGCCUGAUGCAGCGACGCCGCGUGAGGGAUGACGGCCUUCGGGUUGUAAACCUCUUUCAGCAGGGAAGAAGCGAAAGUGACGGUACCUGCAGAAGAAGCGCCGGCUAACUACGUGCCAGCAGCCGCGGUAAUACGUAGGGCGCAAGCGUUGUCCGGAAUUAUUGGGCGUAAAGAGCUCGUAGGCGGCUUGUCACGUCGGAUGUGAAAGCCCGGGGCUUAACCCCGGGUCUGCAUUCGAUACGGGCUAGCUAGAGUGUGGUAGGGGAGAUCGNAUUNCUGGUGUAGCGGUGAAAUGCGCANAUAUCAGGAGGAACACCGGUGGCGAAGCGGAUCUCUGGGCCNUNCUGACGCUGAGNANCAAAGCGUGGGGAGCGAACAGGAUNNAUACCCUGGUAGUCCCGCCGUAA
This 732-nucleotide ribosomal RNA is filed under the name Streptomyces sp. ABR-26. RNAcentral's name for it is "bacterial SSU rRNA". It matches the Rfam family "Bacterial small subunit ribosomal RNA", at positions 50 to 805 of the family's 1533-position model. The record is from RNAcentral. Lineage: Bacteria; Bacillati; Actinomycetota; Actinomycetes; Kitasatosporales; Streptomycetaceae.